CCUACGGGUGGCAGCAGUGAGGAAUAUUUGUCAAUGGACGAGAGUCUGAACCAGCCAAGUAGCGUGAAGGAUGACUGCCCUAUGGGUUGUAAACUUCUUUUAUAUGGGAAUAAAACGUUCCACGUGUGGGAUUUUGUAUGUACCAUAUGAAUAAGGAUCGGCUAACUCCGUGCCAGCAGCCGCGGUAAUACGGAGGGUCCGAGCGUUAUCCGGAUUUAUUGGGUUUAAAGGGAGCGUAGGUGGAUUGUUAAGUCAGUUGUGAAAGUUUGUGGCUCAACCGUAACAUUGCAGUUGAAACUGGCAGUCUUGAGUACAGUAGAGGUGGGCGGAAUUCGUGGUGUAGCGGUGAAAUGCUUAGAUAUCACGAAGAACUCCGAUUGCGAAGGCAGUUCACUGGACUGCAACUGACACUGAGGCUCGAAAGUGUGGGUAUCAAACAGGAUUAGAUACCCCUGUAGUC
This 460-nucleotide ribosomal RNA is filed under the name uncultured bacterium. RNAcentral describes it as "partial 16S ribosomal RNA". It matches the Rfam family "Bacterial small subunit ribosomal RNA", at positions 338 to 795 of the family's 1533-position model. The record is from RNAcentral.